AGAUGUAAGGUUGGUCUAUGACAUCUGUCACCCCAUUGAUCACCAGGGUUGCCUCUGCUGAUCUGACUGGCUAGGGUGGUGUCCACUUCCUCCCUCAAUGCUCCAUGUGCAUCCCUCCCAAAGUGCAAUCUUCAGUCAAAGAGAAUCAACACCCCUGAAAGGGGUGGACCAUUCCCUCUGUCAAGGGUAUAUGAGGAGCUGAGCACUCCUGCUAGAACCCCCAAACAAGCUCUCUGAUGUAGAUGGUACACUGAAGAGAUUCCAAGAAACACAGCUUCUAUUUCAAGAAACAUUGUCU
Molecule: small nuclear RNA, 298 nt
Filed under: Octodon degus (degu)
Lineage: Eukaryota; Metazoa; Chordata; Mammalia; Rodentia; Octodontidae
Description: 7SK RNA (ENSODEG00000023902.1)
Rfam family: 7SK RNA
About the family: 7SK was discovered as an abundant small nuclear RNA in the mid-70s but a possible function has only recently been suggested.
Source: Rfam by way of RNAcentral